GACGAACGCUGGCGGCGUGCCUAAUACAUGCAAGUAGAACGCUGAAGAGAGGAGCUUGCUCUUCUUGGAUGAGUUGCGAACGGGUGAGUAACGCGUAGGUAACCUGCCUUGUAGCGGGGGAUAACUAUUGGAAACGAUAGCUAAUACCGCAUAACAAUGGAUGACACAUGUCAUUUAUUUGAAAGGGGCAAUUGCUCCACUACAAGAUGGACCUGCGUUGUAUUAGCUAGUAGGUGAGGUAAUGGCUCACCUAGGCGACGAUACAUAGCCGACCUGAGAGGGUGAGCGGCCACACUGGGACUGUGACACGGCCCAGACGCCUACGGGAGGCAGCAGUAGGGAAUCUUCGGCAAUGGGUGCAACCCUGACCGAGCAACGCCGCGUGAGUGAAGAAGGGUGUCGGAUCGGAAAGCUCGGUUGUAAGUCAAGAACGGGUGUGAGAGUGGAAAGUUCACACUGUGACGGCAGCUGACCAGAAAGGGACGGCUAACUACGUG
Molecule: ribosomal RNA, 497 nt
Filed under: uncultured bacterium
Lineage: Bacteria
Description: partial 16S ribosomal RNA
Rfam family: Bacterial small subunit ribosomal RNA
Source: RNAcentral